UACGAAGGGGGCUAGCGUUGCUCGGAAUCACUGGGCGUAAAGGGUGCGUAGGCGGGUCUUUAAGUCAGGGGUGAAAUCCUGGAGCUCAACUCCAGAACUGCCCUUGAUACUGGAGAGCUUGAGUUCGGGAGAGGUGAGUGGAACUGCGAGUGUAGAGGUGAAAUUCGUAGAUAUUCGCAAGAACACCAGUGGCGAAGGCGGCUCACUGGCCCGAUACUGACGCUGAGGUGCGAAAGCGUGGGGAGCAAACAGG
RNAcentral lists this ribosomal RNA (253 nucleotides) under uncultured bacterium. Its description in RNAcentral is "partial 16S ribosomal RNA". It matches the Rfam family "Bacterial small subunit ribosomal RNA", at positions 524 to 776 of the family's 1533-position model. The record is from RNAcentral.